AACGCAUAUUGCGCCCUUUGGUAUUCUGAAGGGCAUGCCUGUUUGAGCGUCAUUAUCAACCAUCAAGUUAGACUUGUUAUUGGACUUUAUUAUUAAAUAAGUCUUAAAAUUAAUGACAGAUUAUUGAAAUCUAGAUGUAACGAGCUUAUGCAAACAUUAUAGUGAUUAAUAAUCUUGUAAAACUUCAUCAGGUUGACCUCAAAUCAGGUAGGAAUACCCGCUGAACUUAA
RNAcentral lists this unclassified non-coding RNA (230 nucleotides) under uncultured fungus. Its description in RNAcentral is "sequence contains ITS2". The stretch from base 1 to 52 matches the Rfam family "5.8S ribosomal RNA", at positions 103 to 154 of the family's 154-position model. The record is from RNAcentral. Lineage: Eukaryota; Fungi.